GGAAUAUUGGUCAAUGGGCGUAAGCCUGAACCAGCCAAGUCGCGUGAGGGAGGACGGCCCUACGGGUUGUAAACCUCUUUUGCCGGGGGACAAACGGCGGCACGCGUGCCGUCCUGAGGGUACCCGGAGAAAAAGCAUCGGCUAACUCCGUGCCAGCAGCCGCGGUAAUACGGAGGAUGCGAGCGUUAUCCGGAUUUAUUGGGUUUAAAGGGUGCGUAGGCGGGAUGCCAAGUCAGCGGUCAAAUACGGGGGCUCAACCUGCGUCCGCCGUUGAAACUGGCGUUCUUGAGUGGGCGAGAAGUACGCGGAAUGCGUGGUGUAGCGGUGAAAUGCAUAGAUAUCACACAGAACACCGAUUGCGAAGGCAUCUCACGAAUCCGCGAUUGACGCUGAUGCACGAAAGCGUGGGUAUCAAACAG
Molecule: ribosomal RNA, 419 nt
Filed under: uncultured bacterium
Lineage: Bacteria
Description: bacterial SSU rRNA
Rfam family: Bacterial small subunit ribosomal RNA
Source: RNAcentral